GAUGAACGCUGGCGGCGUGCCUAAUACAUGCAAGUCGAGCGAACAGACGGGGCUCUUGCUCCUCUGCCGUUACCGGCGGGCGGGUAAGUCACACGUGGAUGACCUACCUAUAGGACUGGGAUCACUUCGGGGAACCGGAUCUCGUACCGGAUAAUAUGUUGAACCGCAGGGUUCAUUGGUGAAAGCCGGUUUUGCUGUCACUUAUACGUGGUUCCAGGCCGCAUUAGCUAGUUGGUACGGUAACGGCUUACCAAGGCUACGAUGCGUAGCUGACCUGAGAGGGUGAUCGGCCACACUGGAACUGAGACACGGUCCAGACUCCUACGGGAGGCAGCAGUGGGGAAUCUUCGACAAUGGGCGAAAGCCUGACCCAGCAAUGCCGCGUGAGUGAAGAAGGUCUUCGGAUCGUAAAACUCUGUUAGUAGGGAAGAAGAAAAGUGUGAUUAAAUAUGCCUGUCUUGACGGUACCUACACAGAAAGCAACGGCUAACUACGUG
This 497-nucleotide ribosomal RNA is filed under the name uncultured bacterium. RNAcentral's name for it is "partial 16S ribosomal RNA". It matches the Rfam family "Bacterial small subunit ribosomal RNA", at positions 28 to 507 of the family's 1533-position model. The record is from RNAcentral.